CAUGCAAGUCGAACGGUAACAGGUUAAGCUGACGAGUGGCGAACGGGUGAGUAAUAUAUCGGAACGUGCCCAGUCGUGGGGGAUAACUGCUCGAAAGAGCAGCUAAUACCGCAUACGACCUGAGGGUGAAAGCGGGGGAUCGCAAGACCUCGCGCGAUUGGAGCGGCCGAUAUCAGAUUAGGUAGUUGGUGGGGUAAAGGCCCACCAAGCCAACGAUCUGUAGCUGGUCUGAGAGGACGACCAGCCACACUGGGACUGAGACACGGCCCAGACUCCUACGGGAGGCAGCAGUGGGGAAUUUUGGACAAUGGGCGCAAGCCUGAUCCAGCCAUGCCGCGUGCGGGAAGAAGGCCUUCGGGUUGUAAACCGCUUUUGUCAGGGAAGAAAAGGUUCUGGUUAAUACCUGGGACUCAUGACGGUACCUGAAGAAUAAGCACCGGCUAACUACGUGCCAGCAGCCGCGGUAAUACGUAGGGUGCAAGCGUUAAUCGGAAUUACUGGGCGUAAAGCGUGCGCAGGCGGUUAUGCAAGACAGAGGUGAAAUCCCCGGGCUCAACCUGGGAACUGCCUUUGUGACUGCAUGGCUAGAGUACGGUAGAGGGGGAUGGAAUUCCGCGUGUAGCAGUGAAAUGCGUAGAUAUGCGGAGGAACACCGAUGGCGAAGGCAAUCCCCUGGACCUGUACUGACGCUCAUGCACGAAAGCGU
RNAcentral lists this ribosomal RNA (706 nucleotides) under uncultured beta proteobacterium. RNAcentral describes it as "bacterial SSU rRNA". It matches the Rfam family "Bacterial small subunit ribosomal RNA", at positions 54 to 762 of the family's 1533-position model. Lineage: Bacteria; Pseudomonadati; Pseudomonadota; Betaproteobacteria. The record is from RNAcentral.